RNAcentral lists this ribosomal RNA (498 nucleotides) under uncultured bacterium. RNAcentral's name for it is "partial 16S ribosomal RNA". It matches the Rfam family "Bacterial small subunit ribosomal RNA", at positions 30 to 523 of the family's 1533-position model. The record is from RNAcentral.
AUUGAACGCUGGCGGCAUGCCUUACACAUGCAAGUCGAACGGUAACAGGUCUUCGGAUGCUGACGAGUGGCGAACGGGUGAGUAAUACAUCGGAACGUGCCUAGUAGUGGGGGAUAACUACUCGAAAGAGUGGCUAAUACCGCAUGAGAUCUACGGAUGAAAGCAGGGGAUCGCAAGACCUUGUGCUACUAGAGCGGCCGAUGGCAGAUUAGGUAGUUGGUGGGAUAAAAGCUUACCAAGCCGACGAUCUGUAGCUGGUUUGAGAGGACGAUCAGCCACACUGGGAAUGAGACACGGCCCAGACUCCUACGGGAGGCAGCAGUGGGGAAUUUUGGACAAUGGGCGCAAGCCUGAUUCAGCCAUGCCGCGUGCAGGAUGAAGGCCUUCGGGUUGUAAACUGCUUUUGUACGGAACGAAAAGCCCCGGGUUAAUACCCUGGGGUCAUGACGGUACCGUAAGAAUAAGCACCGGCUAACUACGUGCCAGCAGCCGCCGUAA